CCUACGGGAGGCAGCAGUGGGGAAUUUUCCGCAAUGGGCGAAAGCCUGACGGAGCAAUACCGCGUGAGGGAAGAAUGCCUACGGGUUGUAAACCUCUUUUAUCAGGGAGGAACAAAAUGACGUGUACCUGAUGAAUAAGCAUCGGCUAACUCUGUGCCAGCAGCCGCGGUAAGACAGAGGAUGCAAGUGUUAUCCGGAAUUACUGGGCGUAAAGCGUCUGUAGGUUGUUGAACAAGUCAACUGUUAAAUCUUGAAGCUCAACUUCAAAAUCGCAGUCGAAACUGUUUGACUAGAGUAUAGUAGAGGUAAAGGGAAUUUCCAGUGGAGCGGUGAAAUGCGUAGAUAUUGGAAAGAACACCGAUGGCGAAAGCACUUUACUGGGCUAUUACUGACACUCAGAGACGACAGCUAGGGUAGCAAAUGGGAUUAGAUACCCCAGUAGUCCUAGCCGUAAACUAUGGAUACUAGAUGUUGAACAGAUCGACCUGUGCAGUAUUAAAAGCUAACGCGUUAAGUAUCCCGCCUGGGAAGUAUGCUCGCAAGAGUGAAACUUAAAUGAAUUGACGNGUGAGAGNGCGACGACGACGACGAGGAGGAGG
This 599-nucleotide ribosomal RNA is filed under the name uncultured bacterium. RNAcentral's name for it is "bacterial SSU rRNA". It matches the Rfam family "Bacterial small subunit ribosomal RNA", at positions 338 to 944 of the family's 1533-position model. The record is from RNAcentral.